Long non-coding RNA from Etheostoma spectabile (orangethroat darter), 110 nucleotides. RefSeq lists it as uncharacterized. The transcript is spliced from 3 exons. The record is from RefSeq and is a predicted model, not a curated record. Lineage: Eukaryota; Metazoa; Chordata; Actinopteri; Perciformes; Percidae.
AUUGUGUUUUCCUAUUUCAUGCAGUCUUGUAUAAAGUAUUUGAGAGCAAUACUUGAGUAACAGUAGACUUAUCUUACCAGAAAAUGACUUUGGUAGAAGUUAAAGUUUUC